Cricetulus griseus (Chinese hamster) is the source of this 2040-nucleotide non-coding RNA. Lineage: Eukaryota; Metazoa; Chordata; Mammalia; Rodentia; Cricetidae. The record is from RefSeq and is a predicted model, not a curated record.
UGGGAAUUGAACUCAGGACCUCUGGAAGAGCAGCCAGUGCUCUUAACCUCUGAGCCAUCUCUCCAGCCCAAGCUUAAAAUUUUUAUUGCUUAUUAUUUACUGUCUUAGUUAUUUAGAAUGACUUGAUAACAUCAGCUGUGGGGAUUUUUUUUCCCCCCCUUUUAAGUUCUGAGGAUCAAAUCUAGAGCAUUGAUUGAUAGGCAACCAUUCUGUUACUCAGCUCCACCCAUGGUCUCCUUUUUAAAUUAACCUUGUGAUAGAUAUUUAAAAGUCUAAAUAGAUUGCGUGUACUGACUUCCUUCCUAUGACAGGUAUUUAUCUUCCUGAAGCAUACUUGAUUGUUGUUUGUAUUCUCUUGAGGUACCCACAUAGUCUGUUUUGUUUUUAGUGAUCUUUCCCUUAUGUAUUUAAUUAUGUAAUUAAGUAUUUAGUGGUAUUUGAAUGAUGAAUUGUUUGGGGGAUCAACUUGUAGAAAUCCAGUGUUUUGGUAUAGUAGCCCUUUUCAGACAGUUACUCCUUGCUAAUCGCCUCCCCGUGACACAACUGAAACAUUUGAGCACGUUUGGACUUGGCUUUGAGACCUUUCUGUAAAUAACUUACGUGGUGAUGACUUGGCUUUAUCGCCAGCGCAGACGGGUGACCCUAAAGCCACAGAAGCUGUAAACAUGACUCAGGAGCUGUAGGACUGCAGGAUGGGAGCCAGCAGUUUAAUGCAAUCUUCUCACUCUGAACCUAGCUGUGUGGAAAGGUCAAAGGUUACAAGCAAAAGAACGAUCGAGAUGAGCCAAACUCAGCCCUGGAUUCAAAUAAACUUCUAGCUUAGAUUUAGAACAUUCUCUAGCAUCAAUAGCCUUUGAUCCAGUUUUUUUUCCCAACCUGCCCAUUUUAAAAAUGACAUUUAUGAGUGGAAAUUUCCCUAGUUUCUUGUAAGGGUGCCCAGCCUGCCAUUUCCACAGAAUGUUACAAAAAGAAAUGACAACUGGUGGUCAGGGAAUGUCAGUUCUGGGUGGCCAGCGGGCAGUAAACAGAGAUUUGAGGAGGAAAGGCUCUAUAAGCUGUUUUUCUCAACUGGUGAGGGAGGUGAUUCUGAUCCUGCUGCUUGGUUAAUGAGUCAUGUGCCUGAGGGCAAAACUUGCAACAGGGAAGGGCCUAGUCUGGCCACAAACUGAAGCACCAAUGAGCAGAUAAGUAUUUUCCUGGCACUUUACCUGAAUGUUUCAGAGGCAACUAUCCCUGAACAAAGCAAAUGGAAACUCGGGGAGUAGGAGCCAGUCUGUGUGUGCACUAAUAUGGAAAUUCUAAAUCUGCUCGAAGACCAAGGGGCUCCCAAACACCGAGGAGAAAGUUCAGACUGUUCAGGGAAGGUAGCCAAGAUCAACAGCCCAUUAGCUAUGGAAGAGCCGAGUCACCGAAAAACUUCAGGCCACUAUAGGAGUAAGCAGUCCUGAGAGCAAAGGAAAAUAAGAUGGGACCCAUCCAGCCAAUUCUCAGGUGUUUUCUUCAGAUCAGCUUGUGAUGGAGUGAGACUGUUCACUGUUGAUGCUGAAAAAAAUCUCUGAAGACCUUUGCAUUUUCACACCCUUGGUCAUGGUGUUGGUAGGCACAUUUAGUGGAGCUGGAGACUGGAAGUGACUUGCUGAAUGUCACACAGACAAUAAACUAUGAGCUACAGGGGCUAACAGCUCUCUGUUUUCCACUGAGGUUUCAGCCAGUGGCCCGUGGAAGUUUGCUGUUUUCAUAAAAGGUUGAAGGUGACUUGCCAGCAGGUAGAGAGCCUGAACAGACAGAAGAUGGGUGGCUAGGGUGUUUGAGAGAGCCGGAGGAGCUGGUGCUCACAUGCCUGCAUUUGCAAAGAAGGGUGCUGCCCUGGGUAACAGCAAAGUACUGAGGAGCCGAAGCUGCACUGCUAGAAGAUAAUGUCAAUUGGAGGGUUGCCCAUUUCAUGGGCCUUAUGAGACCAAAGUAAACCCGAAGGCUUUGUGGAAGUGUCUUCUUUAGAAGAAUCCCUUGUGUACCUAAUAAAAGACAUCCAUAUUCAUA